GCCUUUGUGGUGCAAUGGUCAGCACACUGAGCCGGCAUUUCAAAGGUCCGCGGUUCGAUUCCCGGCGAGGGCG
This 73-nucleotide transfer RNA is filed under the name Stegodyphus mimosarum. It matches the Rfam family "tRNA". Rfam says of the family: Transfer RNA (tRNA) molecules are approximately 80 nucleotides in length. Their secondary structure includes four short double-helical elements and three loops (D, anti-codon, and T loops). Further hydrogen bonds mediate the characteristic L-shaped molecular structure. tRNAs have two regions of fundamental functional importance: the anti-codon, which is responsible for specific mRNA codon recognition, and the 3' end, to which the tRNAs corresponding amino acid is attached (by aminoacyl-tRNA synthetases). tRNAs cope with the degeneracy of the genetic code in two manners: having more than one tRNA (with a specific anti-codon) for a particular amino acid; and 'wobble' base-pairing, i.e. permitting non-standard base-pairing at the 3rd anti-codon position. The record is from Rfam by way of RNAcentral. Lineage: Eukaryota; Metazoa; Arthropoda; Arachnida; Araneae; Eresidae.